UACGUAGGGGGCAAGCGUUGUCCGGAUUUAUUGGGCGUAAAGAGCGUGUAGGCGGCCAGACAGGUCCGUUGUGAAAACUAGAGGCUUAACCUCUAGACGUCGAUGGAAACCGUUUGGCUAGAGUCCGGAAGAGGAGAAUGGAAUUCCUGGCGUAGCGGUGAAAUGCGCAGAUAUCAGGAAGAACACCCGUGGCUAAGGCGGUUCUCUAGUACGGUACUGACGCUGAGACGCGAAAGCGUGGGGAGCGAACAGG
RNAcentral lists this ribosomal RNA (253 nucleotides) under uncultured bacterium. Its description in RNAcentral is "partial 16S ribosomal RNA". It matches the Rfam family "Bacterial small subunit ribosomal RNA", at positions 524 to 776 of the family's 1533-position model. The record is from RNAcentral.